CACCAGCGCCCCGAGUGGGGAUCUCGUUUAUUUGGUCUAAAGCGUCCGUAGCUGGUUCGCUAAAUCUCUUGUGAAAUUGUCCGGCUCAACCGGGCAGCGUGCAGGGGAGACUGGCAGACUAGGGACCGGGAAGGGUCAGAGGUAUGCCGGGGGGAGCGGUAAAAUGCUAUAAUCCCCGGUAGAUCACCUGUGGCGAAGGCGUCUGACUAGAACGGGUCCGACAGUGAGGGACGAAAGCCAGGGGAGCAAACCG
RNAcentral lists this ribosomal RNA (253 nucleotides) under uncultured archaeon. RNAcentral's name for it is "partial 16S ribosomal RNA". It matches the Rfam family "Archaeal small subunit ribosomal RNA", at positions 474 to 726 of the family's 1478-position model. The record is from RNAcentral.